GCCUGGCUGGCUCAGUCAGUGGAGCAUGUGACUCUUGAUCUCAGGAUUGUAAGUUCAAGUCCCAUGUUAGGUA
RNAcentral lists this transfer RNA (73 nucleotides) under Ailuropoda melanoleuca (giant panda). It matches the Rfam family "tRNA". Rfam says of the family: Transfer RNA (tRNA) molecules are approximately 80 nucleotides in length. Their secondary structure includes four short double-helical elements and three loops (D, anti-codon, and T loops). Further hydrogen bonds mediate the characteristic L-shaped molecular structure. tRNAs have two regions of fundamental functional importance: the anti-codon, which is responsible for specific mRNA codon recognition, and the 3' end, to which the tRNAs corresponding amino acid is attached (by aminoacyl-tRNA synthetases). tRNAs cope with the degeneracy of the genetic code in two manners: having more than one tRNA (with a specific anti-codon) for a particular amino acid; and 'wobble' base-pairing, i.e. permitting non-standard base-pairing at the 3rd anti-codon position. Lineage: Eukaryota; Metazoa; Chordata; Mammalia; Carnivora; Ursidae. The record is from Rfam by way of RNAcentral.